RNAcentral lists this ribosomal RNA (931 nucleotides) under uncultured rumen bacterium. RNAcentral describes it as "bacterial SSU rRNA". It matches the Rfam family "Bacterial small subunit ribosomal RNA", at positions 8 to 960 of the family's 1533-position model. The record is from RNAcentral.
AGAGUUUGAUCCUGGCUCAGGAUAAACGCUGGCGGCGUGCGUAACACAUGCAAGUUGAGCGACGGAAGUUUGAACCAGCGAUGGGAAUGACCUUACGGAGCAGCGGACGGGUGAGUAAAAGAUGAGAAGCUGUCCAUCAGCGAGGGACAACAGAGGGAAACUUCUGCUAAUACCUCAUAGGCUGAAAGGUUAAAGCAGUAAUGCACUGAUGGAGGUGCUCGUAACCUAUCAACUAGUUGGCGGUGUAACGGACCACCAAGGUAACGACGGGUAGCCGGCCUGAGAGGGUGUCCGGCCACACUGGGACUGAGAUACGGCCCAGACUCCUGCGGGAGGCAGCAGUGGGGAAUAUUGGGCAAUGGGAGAAAUCCUGACCCAGCGACGCCGCGUGAAUGAUGAAGGCCUUAGGGUCGUAAAGUUCUUUUAUGUGAGAAGAAUAAAAUGACGGUAUCACAUGAAUAAGCCCCGGCUAACUACGUGCCAGCAGCCGCGGUAAUACGUAGGGGGCGAGCGUUGUUCGGAAUUACUGGGCGUAAAGGGCGCGCAGGCUGUUCAAUAAGUCAGCUGUUAAAUCGUGUGGCUUAACCAUAUGAUGCAGUUGAAACUAUCGGACUGGAGUAUCGGAGAGGUAAGCGGAAUUCCCAGUGUAGCGGUGAAAUGCGUAGAUAUUGGGAAGAACAUCGGUGGCGAAGGCGGCUUACUGGCCGAAAACUGACGCUGAGGCGCGAAAGCCAGGGUAGCAAACGGGAUUAGAUACCCCGGUAGUCCUGGCGGUAAACGAUGAAUGUUAGGUGUGCGUGCAGAGAUGCAGGUGUGCCGCAGCAAACGCGAUAAACAUUCCGCCUGGGGAGUACGGUCGCAAGAUUGAAACUCAAAGGAAUUGACGGGGGCCCGCACAAGCGGUGGAGCACGUGGUUUAAUUCGAUGCAAA